Molecule: ribosomal RNA, 467 nt
Filed under: uncultured bacterium
Lineage: Bacteria
Description: partial 16S ribosomal RNA
Rfam family: Bacterial small subunit ribosomal RNA
Source: RNAcentral
GAUGAACGCUGGCGGCGUGCUUAACACAUGCAAGUCGAACGGAAAGGCUCCUGCUUGCAGGGGUACUCGAGUGGCGAACGGGUGAGUGACACGUGGGUGAUCUGCCCUGCACUUCGGGAUAAGCCUGGGAAACUGGGUCUAAUACCGGAUAGGACGAUGGUUUGGAUGCCAUUGUGGAAAGUUUUUUCGGUGUGGGAUGAGCUCGCGGCCUAUCAGCUUGUUGGUGGGGUAAUGGCCUACCAAGGCGUCGACGGGUAGCCGGCCUGAGAGGGUGUACGGCCACAUUGGGACUGAGAUACGGCCCAGACUCCUACGGGAGGCAGCAGUGGGGAAUAUUGCACAAUGGGCGCAAGCCUGAUGCAGCGACGCCGCGUGGGGGAGGACGGCCUUCGGGUUGUAAACUCCUUUCGCUAGGGACGAAGCGCAAGUGACGGUACCUGGAGAAGAAGCACCGGCUAACUACGGGC